Scylla paramamosain (green mud crab) is the source of this 858-nucleotide RNA transcript. RefSeq lists it as uncharacterized. The transcript has 4 exons. Lineage: Eukaryota; Metazoa; Arthropoda; Malacostraca; Decapoda; Portunidae. The record is from RefSeq and is a predicted model, not a curated record.
ACAGUCCGGGUCGAGACCUCAAACGAGUCGUCUGUGGUCUCUUGGUGGGGGAGGGAGUGUCUGGGUUCCGUUCGCCCAAAAUGAAAGUGUAGUGUAGCGGCUUAGGCGGUGUCGGAGAAUCGAGCUCUCCCUAAGGGUUCGAUCACAGGAAAACCUCGUCUCCUCGCCUCUCCACCACCACCACCACUCAGGGCGACGUGGGCGUGGGAGGGAGCUCCGUAGAUAAGUGUGCGAGGUGUGCUGCAUUUUUGUAGGUGGAGAAUGGCGAGGAGGGAGCGUGUGUGCUGGGCAGCGGGCGGUGGCGGUGAUGCUGUGGUUAGCGGUGGACGUCCCCUCCGCUGCCGCCGUCGCCAGCGAGUCCUGCUCCGCCGUCAAGAGUGUGUACCAGGCUCAGGGCUUCCGCGAGACCGUCCCAUCGCAACCUAUAUCAGGUGAGAGUGAGAGUCGAGGAGCAUUGGCCGGGUGGAGGAGAGCAGGAGAGGAGGUGGAGAGGUGAGCGUGUGGGCGGCUGCCGGGCGCGCGACACAGCCUCGACGCGCCAGCACCCACAAUGCAGCCGCGCACCCCUUUCUCCCCUGCCUCGAUGUCCUGCAGUUAACAGUCAUGCCUCACAGACCGCCAGGGGGAGUGAGGGGACGCAGGAUUGCAGCAACAACACCUGCCACGCCACACCUCAUUUGCACAUCUUGACGGACAAGUUACUCGCGCGCUCCCUUUGUGUCGCGCGCUGCUGAUUGGCUCGGGAACACAUGGAGCGGGGAAUGCAUUUGAUUGGCUGGUCUGGGCCGCGCUGGGGUUGAGUGGGCGGGACUUGUUCGUCAAUUUAAUUCGAAAAGAAAAUGUUGGCUUCUUAUUCUU